This is a long non-coding RNA of Saccostrea cuccullata (small rock oyster), 1416 nucleotides long. RefSeq lists it as uncharacterized. The transcript has 4 exons. Lineage: Eukaryota; Metazoa; Mollusca; Bivalvia; Ostreida; Ostreidae. The record is from RefSeq and is a predicted model, not a curated record.
UCUUGGACUGGGGGCAAACAUUGGGGGCUGACGUCAUAAUAACAAUGGCUGAAUCGAGCUCCGCAGCUGACGAUGCUGCGAAUAUAAUCGCCGCGUAUAAUUUACCUGCGUCGUAACAAGUGUACCUAGGUGUGCAGAAGAGACCCCAAGAAGAGAAGAUAUCCUAGAAACACCUGAAGGCGUGUCUCAGUCUCGGAGUCAGAGUUAAAGACACAGGAUAUGACAUGGCAGGAUGCAGCUAAAGCAGCUCUGAAUCGAGUUCGUUGGAGGACUGUCAUCAAUGGCCUAUGUUCCUCAGAGAAGGACAGGCCGAAGUAAGUACAUGAACUAAGUAGCAGAAGAGUGCUCUUUUAACACUGCAUGGAAAUAUAAACAGUAUAUGCCUCAAGUAAAUUUUGAAGAAUCCUAAAUUCAAAUCCAGACUGUGGCAGCCCUACUUGUAGCUGUUGGACUCAUAUGGGAUAACAAUAAUCAAAAAUCACGAUAUCAACACAUAGAUUUUAUCUCAUUUUGACGAAAUGUAGAGAAAUGACAUACAGUCUGUUUUGUGAUAGAAACUAAAAUAGAGAGGGCUUUACAUUGUCCUUUAGAAUUUGCUAGGAAUUUUUUUUUAAUGAACUUUAAAUUACUGCUCAUGUACAUAUUUUUGUUGAAAGAUAAAGUGUACUUAUUUACACCAAUACAAUGAUCAGCUUCAACUAAAUAUCAAAGAUUAACAUUUGCCAUGGAUAUUUUGAUGUUACCAAUUUGACCAAGAUGUUUGCAGAAAAAUCAAAUGCAUGUUUUCUUUCAAAGUUGUUACAAUAAGAGCUAUUAAUAAAAGGAAAAAAAAAACAUUUCACAUGAUAUUAAAACUUGUAUUUUUAUUACAGCUUGAAAAAAUACAUGUAAUAAUCAUGAUAAAUAAUAAAUUUGUACAUGUAUGUAAAAUUGUUUUCAAUUGAGAAUACUUGAACUCUCUUUAGCACUUGAUCCUUGGGAUGUCAUGUGCUAUAUAGGAAUGUGAUUUACCCAGCACAUUUUAAAAUUAAGCUCCUUAGAUCUAGCUGCAGGUCUGUUGAAGAAAUUUCAGGGUGAUGAAGGAAGGGGGGUUCAACUUAAAAGUAAUGUUUUGACAAGCAAAAACAAUGUUCAUAUUAAUAAUUUGGGGGACAAGGCAACUGUAUAGAUAAGAUUUUUGUAUUGUGUGAUGUGCACCGGUAUAUACUAUAGUAUUGUAUCCAUUGGAUUUUAUUACUGAGAGGUACAAAGUAACACUCCAAUCCACAUACAGUAAAACUCGGCUAUAACGAAGUCACUGGGACCCGGAAAAUUACUUUACUUUAACCAUUAUUUGUUCUUUCCGUAUAAAGAAUUUGUUAAAUUUGUGUACUUUGGGAUCCAAGAUAACUUCGCUUUAUCCGUGAAUUCGCAAUA